GAAUAUUCUGAGGUGCCAGGAAGGUCGGGAAGCUGUGGGGUGUCCCAUUGAUCCCAGGCAGAAUUCCAGGGAAUCCAUGGAAUGUCCCACUGAUCCCAGUGCAGGAUUCCAGAGAAUCCAUGGAAUGUUCCACUGAUACCAGCACAGGAUUCCAUGGAAUGUCCCACUGAUCCCAGUGCAGGAUUCCCAUGGAAUCCAUGGAAUGUUCCACUGAUACCAGCACAGGAUUCCAUGGAAUGUCCCACUGAUCCCAGUGCAGGAUUCCAUGGAAUGUCCCACUGAUCCCAGGCAGAAUUCCAGGGAAUCCAUGGAAUGUCCCACUGAUCCCAGUGUGAGAUUCCCAUGGAAUCCAUGGAAUGUCCCACUGAUCCCAGGCAGAAUUCCAGGGAAUCCAUGGAAUGUCCCAAUGAUCCCAUGCAGGAUUCCAGGGAAUCCAUGGAAUGUCCCACUGAUCCCAGUGCAGGAUUCCAUGGAAUCCAUGGAAUGUUCCACUGAUACCAGUGCAGGAUUCCAUGGAAUGUUCCAUUGAUCCCAGUGCAGAAUUCCAGGGAAUUCCAGCCAUGAUCCAGGAUCUGGGCUCAGGUAUUCCCGAUCCUGGAGCUUUUCCAUAGGGCAGGGAAUCGAUUUCCUUGGAUACCCUGAGCCCCUGAGAUUCCCAAACCUGCCAUUCUUUGGAAUUGGAGAACUUGGCUCAUCCCUCCUCCCUCCCCCUGAGCUGGGAACGGGAUCCUGGGAAAAGGAGGAUUCAGAAAUCCCUCUGGAUCCUCUGGAUCCUGCUGGAGCUUCCCUGUCCCAUCCCGGAGCCGCGGAUUUUUCGGGAAGAGCCAUUCCCGCCUCCGGCUGCUCCGUGGGAAGGGCGCUGGAGACCCGGGAUAAAAUUAUCCCAAACCUCCCACGGGGUCCGAGAUCGGAGCCGGAUUUUAAGGAGACAGGAACACGCCCGAGCUCGGGUUGGUUCCUCCGGAAUAAUUUAUGGAUUAAAUUAAAUCCAAUCGGAAAACUCAUUCCCGAAAAAGUGGCAAAUCCAGGAAAAAUCCAGGGAAUCUGCUGAGUUUUCCCCUGCUGGGAUCCUGGAGGUGCUGGAGCAAAACUUGGGAUCAUCCCAUGGGAAUGGGCUCUGUGUGACCAGCAGCGGGUGGGAUUCCAAAAGUUUUCCACUUGUUUUUCCCUCUGGAAGCAGGGAAAAAACUCAUUCCAGGGAAUCUUGGCACAUCCCAGAAAAAAACCGGGAUGGGGAGAGAUGAGAGGCUCGGGAAGCUGCCAACAUUCCCAGGGCUGGAAUUUAUGGGAACAGCUUGGAAAAGUCAGGGAUGUGCAGCCAGGGAGGAUUUUUCCAGAGUAUUCCAAAGGUUUUCUUUCCGUGUUUUGUUCUGGCAACUCUUCCUCCUCCCUUUUAAAUCAUGGAAAAGCCGGAAUUCCAAUAAAAUCCCAGUUGGAUUUAUCCGGGAGCAGCUCCCGGCAUUGGACAGCCCGGGAGUGUCCCGCUGGAAUUCCAGAGGUUUUUCCUGAUGUUUCUCAGGAUGUGUUGGGAGCUCCCAGCCCUGAUCCCUCAAUCCUUGGAAUGCCAGAGUGGGAAUUCCCGCAGGAAUGUGGAUUCCAAGGGUUGGGAAUGCCUGGAAAAAUGAGGGAUGAGGGGUCGCUCCUCUUCCCACCAAUCCCUCGCCUCUAUCCCAAGGAUUUUCCAUUCCCGGUUUUCCCGGUCCUUAUAUCCCAAAAUCCACCUCAAUCCUGAAAUUCCUCUCUCCUUUCUCCGCUGUCCAGGGGAACACUAAAAAAAAAAAAAAAAAAAAAAAAAGGAAAA
Oenanthe melanoleuca is the source of this 1801-nucleotide long non-coding RNA. RefSeq lists it as uncharacterized. The transcript is spliced from 2 exons. Lineage: Eukaryota; Metazoa; Chordata; Aves; Passeriformes; Muscicapidae. The record is from RefSeq and is a predicted model, not a curated record.